Molecule: ribosomal RNA, 504 nt
Filed under: uncultured bacterium
Lineage: Bacteria
Description: partial 16S ribosomal RNA
Rfam family: Bacterial small subunit ribosomal RNA
Source: RNAcentral
AUUGAACGCUGGCGGCACGCCUAACACAUGCAAGUCGAGCGGUAACAUGAUUUGUAGCAAUACAAAUUGAUGACGAGCGGCGGACGGGUGAGGAACACGUAGGAAUCUGCCCAGAAGCGGGGGACAACCAAGGGAAACUUUGGCUAAUACCGCGUAAUCUCGCAAGAGUAAAGCUGCCCGCAAAGGUGGCGCUUCUGGAGGAGCCUGCGUCCAAUUAGCUAGUUGGUGAGGUAAGAGCUCACCAAGGCGAUGAUAGGUAACUGGUCUGAGAGGACGACCAGUCACACCGGGACUGAGACACGGCCCAGACUCCUACGGGAGGAAGCAGUGGGGAAUAUUGGACAAUGGGGGCAACCCUGAUCCAGCGAUGCCGCGUGGGUGAAGAAGGCCUUCGGGUUGUAAAGCCCUUUAGGUUGGGAAGAAGUGUACGGGGCGAAUAACCCCGUAUGUUGACGGUACCGACAAAAUAAGCACCGGCAAACUCUGUGCCAGCAGCCGCCGUAA